GGAAGGGUGCCCUUCGGGGAAUUCCGAGACAGGUGCUGCAUGGCUGUCGUCAGCUCGUGCCGUGAGGUGUGGGUUAAGUCCCGCAACGAGCGCAACCCUAUUGCCAGUUGCUACCAGGUAAUGCUGGGCACUCUGGUGAGACUGCCCGGUUAACGGGGAGGAAGGUGGGGACGACGUCAAGUCAUCAUGGCCCUUACGCCUAGGGCUACACACGUACUACAAUGGCGCAUACAAAGGGCAGCGAUACCGCGAGGUGGAGCCAAUCCCAAAAAGUGCGUCCCAGUCCGGAUUGCAGUCUGCAACUCGACUGCAUGAAGUUGGAAUCGCUAGUAAUUCGAGAUCAGCAUGCUCGGGUGAAUGCGUUCCCGGGCCUU
This 374-nucleotide ribosomal RNA is filed under the name uncultured Desulfovibrio sp. RNAcentral describes it as "bacterial SSU rRNA". It matches the Rfam family "Bacterial small subunit ribosomal RNA", at positions 1007 to 1382 of the family's 1533-position model. The record is from RNAcentral. Lineage: Bacteria; Pseudomonadati; Thermodesulfobacteriota; Desulfovibrionia; Desulfovibrionales; Desulfovibrionaceae.